This 405-nucleotide ribosomal RNA is filed under the name bacterium enrichment culture clone ALO1_GLFRUDD03HEUQT. RNAcentral describes it as "bacterial SSU rRNA". It matches the Rfam family "Bacterial small subunit ribosomal RNA", at positions 9 to 416 of the family's 1533-position model. The record is from RNAcentral.
GAGUUUGAUCCUAGCUCAGAUUGAACGCUGGCGGCAGGCCUAACACAUGCAAGUCGAGCGGAUGACGGGAGCUUGCUCCUUGAUUCAGCGGCGGACGAGUGAGUAAUGCCUAGGAAUCUGCCUGGUAGUGGGGGACAACGUUUCGAAAGGAACGCUAAUACCGCAUACGUCCUACGGGAGAAAGCAGGGGACCUUCGGGCCUUGCGCUAUCAGAUGAGCCUAGGUCGGAUUAGCUAGUUGGUGGGGUAAUGGCUCACCAAGGCGACGAUCCGUAACUGGUCUGAGAGGAUGAUCAGUCACACUGGAACUGAGACACGGUCCAGACUCCUACGGGAGGCAGCAGUGGGGAAUAUUGGACAAUGGGCGAAAGCCUGAUCCAGCCAUGCCGCGUGUGUGAAGAAGGCC